Molecule: long non-coding RNA, 1000 nt
Organism: Aphidius gifuensis
Lineage: Eukaryota; Metazoa; Arthropoda; Insecta; Hymenoptera; Braconidae
Exons: 3
Source: RefSeq, a predicted model, not a curated record
AACAAACCAAAUAAUAAAUAUUUUUUUUUCUCUCUCAAUCUCAACUGUCAGAUUGUCUGAAAUUGUUUUGAUAGUAAAAUGUUGAUUGUUGCUGGUAAACAUAGUUGAGUUGGAAAAAGUUUUUUAUGAAUAAUACAUACAAUGAAACCUGGUGGAAGACCUCUUCAUGAAAUUUGGACCCAAGGCUUCAAAAGAACCUCCAAAUGUGAUGGGAAAUUCACAGCGAAUUGUCAAUAUUGCUUUAAAGAGUUCUCAAAUACUUCAAGUGAAAGAUUAAUAAACCACAGAGCAAACUGUCAAGCAAUUGAUACACUGGCAUCAUCAUCAAGUGACAAUAAUAACAAAAUCACAUCAACAAAUUCAAAUUCUACAAUAAUUACUGAAGAUUCAGUGUCAAUUUUAAGUUAUGAUUCAGAUGCAUCCGGUGCUAGUUCACCAUCUAUCUCUUCUAGACCAUCUAAAAAAAGAAAACUAUCCAACUUAAGAUCUUUAAAUCAAUACUUUUUGUCUUUGACAGACAGUGACAAAAAAAAGAUUGAUAGAGCUGUCUUGAACUUCUUUGUCAGCUGAAAUAGCAACUGAGUGUUUGAAUAAAGCUUAUGAUCAACUUGAUGAAUCAAGAUUUCUUUUAUCAGCAUCUGAAAGAAUUUUAAUGAUUAGUAACACGACUCAAGAAGAUGAUAUACAUAUUAUAAUUCAUAUAAUAUGUUCAAGUAAAAAACUGUUGUUUCUUGAUCAGUUUAUUAGAAAAAAAAAUGAAUAUGAAUUAAGCAGCAUUGUUGAUCAAGCAAUAUUUGAUGCUCAGAUCAAAACCAAAAUUAAAAUAUAUGCAGUUAUUACUGAAGAUGAAUAUAAAUCAUUAGAUGAUGAUGUAUGGUCACUACGAUGCUGUAAAUCUUUUGCUGCAUCAAUUGAUCAUGAUCUUAUUGAUUCAUGUUUAGAUAUAAUAUUAUGGUUGGAAUAAUUUAUUUAAAAAAAUAUUAAUUUACACAAAAAUAUG